Lytechinus pictus (painted urchin) is the source of this 2571-nucleotide long non-coding RNA. RefSeq lists it as uncharacterized. The record is from RefSeq and is a predicted model, not a curated record. Lineage: Eukaryota; Metazoa; Echinodermata; Echinoidea; Temnopleuroida; Toxopneustidae. The transcript is spliced from 4 exons.
GAUAUAGACGACGAUAAAUAGAUUUGUACGAAAAGGAAAGAAGCUAGAAGCGAAGCGUGUAAUAUCGGUAUUUGCCGAGCUGUGAGAAAAUCUAAAUUUUUGAAUGGAUGAAAACAUCUUACAACAUGCACUGGCUGUCCUACUAUGAAAGGAGGAUUGUUAGAGAGGAAUAUGCCAACCAGAACUGCAGUUAGGAGUCAUUGGCAGGAGGAACCUUUGUGACUUGUACGAAGAUGAAGCUUUCAAGCACAGAAUUGCUUUUCCAAAGAGACCACACGCUACCUCAUCAUCAUGCUUGAAGGUGAUCUGAGCCUGAGGAGGGACGAAGGGCCUAGUGAUCGACUACCUUUGUUUCUGCAAGUAUUGACAAUUCUGCGUUUGUAUGCUGAUAAUUUCAGGGAAUACAGGGUGAUGAGGCAUCAGUGUUGCAAUCAUCUGUUUGUUGAGUGAUCAGAUGUUUCGCAAGCCAUAGCCAGAAUAAAGGUUUUGUGAGAACUUGAGAUUGAGGCUACCCAACAACAACUGUUUGAGUACCAGUACAGUACUACAGGAAUUCAAGAGUCAUAGGUGUGUUCGAUGGGACCCAUGUCUACAUAUCCUGGAGGGAAACAAGCUUUGUACUUUCUUGAUGGGCAAGUCCACCCAACAAAAAGUUUAUUUUGAUAUAAUAGAGAAAACUCCAAUGAGCAUAACACUGAAAAUUUUAUCGAAAUUUUAUGUAAAAUGAGAAAGUUCUGACAUCUUGAAGUUUCGCUUAUUUUCACAAAACAGAUAUAUAUGCACAUCCUGGUCAUUAUGCAAAUGAGUGACCAAGUGACGUUCUCCACUCAAUGUUUCUUUUUUUGUAAUAUAUCAUGAAAUAUGAUUUUUUUUUCUCAUAAUGGCUAAUACAGGUGUAUUGUUUGAUUUUUCCCUGAAACUUGUGUAAAAAGACAAUGUGGCAACCUAUACUCAAUUGUGAAUUCUGUAAAAAAUCAAGUAUUAUAAUAUAUUUCAUAUAUUGAUAUACAGAAGAAAGAGUGAGUGUGUGACGUCAUAGACUUGUUUGCAUAUCACCUGUUUUGUGCAUAUAAGUGAUUUUUGCGAGUACCGGUAAUUAAUUUCUUAUUUUACAUCCUAUUUUGACGUUUUCAGUGUCAUGCAUGUUUUAUUUUUCUUUAUCCAUUCACAUUAACUUUUUGUUGUACAGUGGACUUGCUCUAGAACAGGUAUUUUCUGUAAUGUACAAGUAAGAAUUUCAUUAUUCACUUGUGUCUUCUUUUUAACACCUUCUUUACAGAGGGGGGGGGGGGUUGAAUCAACCUCCCUUGAGAUCUCUGCCAAUGAUCGCAUUAACGCCUUGAAAAUUGGUAUGAUAAUAGUGGGGGAUGUCAUGUGCAAUGCUGUUUGGUUAAUUUUUCCGAAAUCGUCAGAUCUUUUAUAUUAAUUAAUUAUGCUAAUUUCUGCAUAAAUCAUACUUUUAUACCAUUGCUAACAAUCAAAAUGAAAAAAAAAUCCUAGAUUGAAAAUGAAUUUCUUAUGUAUUUUAUUGUUUUAUGAAUUUCUUAUGUAUAUCUUUUUUUUCAAGAUUUUGUUUUUUGCCAAAUUUAAAGCAGAACAUUUUUGAAGCAUAAUUAUGCUGAAAUCAAGUAAUUUCAGCUGAUGAAAGUAAAAAUAAUCAUGUCCAUAUGAAGAAGAUGAGAAAACUCAACAUUUACUUUGUACACAAAAUCACAUUUUGGAGCAAUUUUGGGUCUGACAUGCACUUAUGUAAUGUUGAGUAAUUUUCCAACAGCAUGCCCAGGCAUCGUAAAUUUGAUCUCAAUAGAUGUGCAAGACUUCAAAGUAAAAAGUCAGCGAGCAGCACGGUCGUUAAAUUUCGCACAGCGGAAUGGUUGUGGAAUAUGUUGAGGGAGGGGGUUCAUUCACCCCCCCGGGGUUUUAGGGUUAACCCUAAAUCUCCCGGGGUAUUUUGAUUCUUGUCAUUCCCGGGGGGGGGGGCAUUAUGGCCCCCCUUAAGACCUCAGUCGCGGAUUGCGCGAUCAAAACAAAAAUUUGCAUGAUGGUAGAGAAUGACUUAAUCUACGCAGUUGCAUUGGUAAAUUUCACUGAAUUCAUAUAUUUUCAUUUUAUAUUAAUUAAUUAUGCUAAUUUAUUCAUGAAAUCAUACUUUUUGCUCUGAUUCACUAAAUAAAGCUCCUAGAAUGCUAUUUUUUGGUGAAAAUAUUCUUUAUAGCAUUCCUAACAAUUGUGAAUGAAAAGACCGAUUUCUUAUGUAUUUUAUUGUUUUUUAAUUUCUUAUGUAUUUCUUUGUUUUUUACUUUUUCGAUGGAAAUCGUUCCAGACUUAAUUAUGAUCAUAAACAAGGCAAAAUUAAUUAAGUUUAAUCAGUAAAAGUAGAAAUAAUGAUGCAUUUAUGAAUUUUGGCUAAUACACAAUCUGCAUUGGAUUUGUACAUGAAAUCACGUUUAUGAGUAAUUUGGGGUCUGACAUGCACUUACAUAAUGUUGCGUAAUGUCGUAACCGCGUACCCGGGCGUCACAAAUUUGGUCUCAAAAUUUGCGCUAGACUUGAAAGUAAAAAGUCAGUGAG